GACGAACGCUGGCGGCGUGCUUAACACAUGCAAGUCGAACGGAAAGGCCCUGCUUUUGUGGGGUGCUCGAGUGGCGAACGGGUGAGUAACACGUGAGUAACCUUCCCUUGACUUUGGGAUAACUUCAGGAAACUGGGGCUAAUACCGGAUAGGAGCUCCUGCUGCAUGGUGUGGGUUGGAAAGUUUCGGCGGUUGGGGAUGGACUCGCGGCUUAUCAGCUUGUUGGUGGGGUAGUUGCUUACCAAGGCUUUGACGGGUAGCCGGCCUGAGAGGGUGACCGGCCACAUUGGGACUGAGGUACGGGCCAGACGGCAACGGGGGGCAGCGGUGGGAAAUAUUGCACAAUGGGCGGCAGCCUGAUGCAGCAACGCCGCGUGCGGGAUGACUGCCUUCGGGUUGGAAACCGCUUUAGCCUGUGACGAAGCGUGAGUGACGGUAAUGGGUAAAGAAGCACCGGCUAACUACGUG
This 468-nucleotide ribosomal RNA is filed under the name uncultured bacterium. RNAcentral's name for it is "partial 16S ribosomal RNA". It matches the Rfam family "Bacterial small subunit ribosomal RNA", at positions 28 to 507 of the family's 1533-position model. The record is from RNAcentral.